Molecule: long non-coding RNA, 4175 nt
Organism: Ficedula albicollis (Collared flycatcher)
Lineage: Eukaryota; Metazoa; Chordata; Aves; Passeriformes; Muscicapidae
Source: Ensembl
AUCCAGUCAAUGUCAAAUGAUUGUGGAUGAUCCACAAUGUCUUCUGCCCAGGUUCUCUCUAGCUUGGGCAGCUGGACUUUGUCGAAUUUUGAAAGAUCUUUGCACGAGAGAUGCCAAACGUGCUGUUUGCCCUUUUUGUUCUUUCCACCACCUGAUCCCUGUCUUGUUAGGCCUCUUGGCUGAAGCAGAAGCUUUGAGGGGGGAAGGGGUUGGAGAAGCAGCCUGUGCCAUUUCUCAUGUAUGUUUUUUACUUAACACAGACUGAUUCUGAAGGUGAAGGGAAAAUGUCAGCUGCUGUCCAGCUUCCCACUGCAAACAGCAACAGGUUGGAUGCUGGCUCUGCUGCAGUGGAAUGUGGCAAAGGGGUCUUGAAACAAGCAUAUAGAGAAGGGAUGAAGGAAGAUGGAGUCAUGCAGUCAGCAGGGGGAACAGCAAAAGACGAAGACAACGAUUCUCCCUGGGAUCCUGAGACUGAUUCUGAAGGUAAGGGGAAGGCAUCGGCCAAUGUACAACUUCCUGCUGCACCGCAAAACAGAGUGGGCGUGAGCUCUGCUGCAGUGGAGCACAUCAAAGGUAAUUUCAGAGGGACUACAUGGUUACCUUUGUGAGCCUCUCUGGAGUGAUUCAGUUUUGGGUAAACAAAUUGAAAUAAGCACAUACAACAGCAACACUCUUUUUUUGUAAAAUCUCUAUUAUCAGCUGCAAGAGUAGAACAGAAGGAACAUUUCAUCUCCUCUUCUGAGAAUAAGGUACUUAGCUCUCUUCCUCAGCUCUGACACUACCCUUGGCAGAAGUCAUGUUUCUUCAUGCUCUCUGCUUGAAGGCAGUUUGAUGCUGCAGUCCUGCUGAGGAUUCGUUUCCCAACUCUUGUUUCUCUUUUUUCUUUCUUGCUUAGCUUCCUGCAUUACACGGAGACGAUCUUCAGCUAAAGGUUGAUUCUUCAACUCAAACAGCUUCUGAACAGUACAAACAGGUGACUCUUAGAGACAGGUGCAAAUAUCCCUAAAUGGAACCUAUCAGUGUAAGCACGUGUUCUUGCUAGUGAGUUCAUUUUGGAACAAUGCUGAGAGAAGGUAGUUAAUCUGGACCUGAGCUGUAGUUUGGGCCUAAUUUCAUAUGUAUUUGAAUCAGAUGAGCUGUAAAAAGAAGCUGCUUGAUGUCCCAUUCAUCUUCAUUUUGAACACGUCCAGGGAUGAGCACAACUCCUCUGGACAACCUGGUCCAGUGUUCCAUCACAAUACUUGGAAAUUUUUCUCCCAUAUAUCUAAUCUAAAACUACCAUGUUUUCAUUUCAAACCGUUACCCUUUGACGUGUCACUACAAUCCUUGGUAGAAAUAUCUCUCCUUCUUUCUGUGCUAAAAGGCUUUAAUAAGAUUUGGCCAAAGCCUUGCUUUUUCCAAGACUGAAAAAUCCCAUGUCCCUCAGCUUUUUUCCAUGGGAGAGGUAUUCCAGCCCUGUGAAUGUCUUUGUGGCCCUCCUCUGGCCUCUUUUCAUCAGGUCUAUGCCUUGUGCUGGGGGCCUCAGGGGGUGACACAGUUCUUUAGGUGGAGUCCCACAAGAGCAGAGUAGAAAGGGAGAAUUGCCUCCCUAAACCUGGUGGCCAAACAAUCUAAUGAUGUAAUUUCAUCAGUAAAAACAUUGCUUUUGUUGUCAUGUUUGCACUGAUUUUGCCAUGCUUAUGAAAGACCAUUUCCUUAGCCAUUGGCCAAGGAAAUCAGUGUAGGAGAGAUGAAGUAACACAGGUUUUGAAAGUUAACGUCAGAAUCAAAGCACUCUACUUUUUUAAGAUAUAAAAGCUUUCUACUGGGGAUUGUUCUUGUGGUUUGACAGCUCAAGUACCUGAAAGAACCUUUUCACAAGAAUGAUUAUUAUGCUGAGUCAGUAAAGAAUGUCCUAAAGGAGAAGAAGGUACUAACAGUUCUGAGGAACUUGCAAAGCUGCCUGGCUGAUUGUUUGGAUUCUUCAGCUGCAGCUAUCCCCCAGCUGGAAGAGCGCAUUCGACGGUAAGACAGUGGAGCAAGGCUUCACUUUUCGUGAUUCUGUGAACACAACAGGACUGUCAUCUUGCAUCCCAGUGAGAUGCUAAUACACAAUUUUCAAAGAUGCUUUUGUUUUAGAACAUGUUCUUUCAUGCUCUUUCAUUGGGGUUUGUUCUCUUUUGGACUUCUAUCAUAAGGCCUGUACUUCUUUUUCAGGCUCCAAAUUCAAAGGGCAAGGCUGGAAGCCACAAUCCAGCAACAAGCCAAGACAAUUGAAGCUUUAGAGAAAAUCCAGCAAGUCUCUUACCGCAGUAAGCUACUCAGAGCUUUCCCUGUUCGUGAUCCGCAGAGCCUAGUUCAUGUGAGAAAAUUUUUUAAAUUUCAGGUUUUCCUAGAGACAGUCUUGGAGAGAUCAGACCAUGUAACUAGAUAGCCUGAAAGACCCAACCAUAUUCUAGAAGAAUGGGUGUGGAGGUACAUGUUGGAAGGAAGAUAUAUAGUAGGUGGUUUGGGAAGUCUGUACAUUCCUAGUACCUCAGCCAAUGCGGAAAGGAGGAGGGCAACAUGAAGUUGGGAGUUUAGGAUCAAAGGAGGCUGGAUCCUCCAAACACUUGAGAGACCCCGCAGGGUUAUGGCCCACUAGACUCUCCCUAUAUUCAAAUAAAGUUGAUUUUUGCAGGACUCCUCUGUGGACACCGGUCUUCGACACUGUGAUUUUCCACACACUAUCAAAAACUGCUUUGGAGAGAAGUUUGCAAAGUGAGCAAAUCCCUGAGGCUGGGUGCCCUGCGGGUGUUUCCACCAUUUUGGGUGUCUGUUCCUAUAAGCUUUGUAAUAGUUAGCAAUUUUGUUCUAGUGAUUACUAUCUAGUGAUUAGUUACUAUUAUUUUGUUCCCAUAAGAUUUGUAAAAGUUAGCAAUUUUGUAUCUAGUGAUUACUAUCUAUGAUUAGUUACUGUUAGUCUGUUCCCAUGAGAUUUGUAAAAGUUAGCAAUUUUGUUCUGGUGAUUACUAUCUAGUGAUUAGUUACUAUUAUUUUGUUCCCAUGAGAUUUGUAAAAGUUACUAAUUUUAUAUCUAGUGAUUGCUAUCUAGUGAUUAGUUACUGUUAUUUUGUUCCCAUGAGAUUUGUAAAAGUUAGCAAUUUUGUAUCUAGUUGUUACUAUCUAGUGAUUGCUUCUGUUAUUUUUUUGCCUGUUGCUGUUUCACUUAUCAAUAAAUUGUUAUAUAUUCACUUAUAUCUACUUGUAUUUAUUUGUUCCUUAUUGGUGGACAAGGGACUGGAGGGAACUAAGGGGAGGUAAUUCAUUCUAAAGCAUCCAGCUCUUUAAACUGUUUUAAACCAAGACCUAUUUUUUAGAACUACCCUGGAAAGAUUAUUAUUGAUAUUGUUCUUGGUAAAUAGGCUUCCUGGAUGGCCAGAAGCUUUUGUCUGUCACACUAACAAAACUCAAGAAGUAACUGAAGUUUUGUUAAAGGAAAUUAUAUCCAGAUUUGGGCUACCACUGGGCCUGUCUUCAGCCAAUUUUAUUCUGUGGCUGAAACAACUCAAAGUUUAUGCAAAGUGCUUGGGAGUCACAUGGUAUCUCCACACUCCUUAGAAACCUCAGUCCAGUGGAAAAGUAGGAAGGAUAAAGCAAAACUUGAAAUGGCAAAUAAGUAAGAUUUGUCAAAAAACUUCACUAACAUGGCCUCAGGCUUUGUCUUUAGCCUUAUUAAACCUUAUUAGCCUAGAUUGAAAGAAAUAUUAAGUCCUUAUGAAAUUAUUUAAGGCAGGCUGUAUAAAACUAACUAACUCAGGAGAAAGCCAUGUGUUAGGAAACAGUAAUUUAAAAGAGUAUUUUUAUAUUUGGGAAAAGAGCAUUUUUAUCUUUGAGAAAAGAGCUCUCAGUUUUGCAUAGGCUUGUUGUUUAGCAUCCUCAACAGCCUUGGACAUUCAGGUACAUCUUCAUCAGCCCAGGGAUUAGGUAUAUGUCCACGUGUGGAAUGAUGAACCACUUUAGGAAAAGUGGAAAAGACCAUUCCAGGUUCUCCUGGCUACCCACAUGGCUGUGAAAGCUGUUGGCUGAGGCUCCUGGAUUCACUACACCUGGACAAACCCAGCUCCAAACCAGGAAACACUUCACUGGACUGUUCAGCAGACAGCAAAACCUUUACAGAUACGAUUGAAAAGAAAUGUUAAUAAAUUGUACUUAAA